GCAGGUAUAGCUCAGUGGUAGGGUGCAUGCUUGGCAUGCGCGAGGUCCUGGGUUCAAUCCCCAGUGCCUCUG
This 72-nucleotide transfer RNA is filed under the name Camelus bactrianus (Bactrian camel). It matches the Rfam family "tRNA". From Rfam's summary of the family: Transfer RNA (tRNA) molecules are approximately 80 nucleotides in length. Lineage: Eukaryota; Metazoa; Chordata; Mammalia; Artiodactyla; Camelidae. The record is from Rfam by way of RNAcentral. RNAcentral also lists the same sequence under 1 other name.